ACUCUGAUGCAGCGAUGCCGCGUGAGUGAAGAAGGCCCUUGGGUUGUAAAGCUCUUUCGUCGGGGAAGAAAAUGACUGUACCCGAAUAAGAAGGUCCGGCUAACUUCGUGCCAGCAGCCGCGGUAAUACGAAGGGACCUAGCGUAGUUCGGAAUUACUGGGCUUAAAGAGUUCGUAGGUGGUUGAAAAAGUUGGUGGUGAAAUCCCAGAGCUUAACUCUGGAACUGCCAUCAAAACUUUUCAGCUAGAGUUUGAUAGAGGAAAGCAGAAUUUCUAGUGUAGAGGUGAAAUUCGUAGAUAUUAGAAAGAAUACCAAUUGCGAAGGCAGCUUUCUGGAUCAUUACUGACACUGAGGAACGAAAGCAUGGGUAGCGAAGAGGAUUAGAUACCCUCGUAGUCCAUGCCGUAAACGAUGUGUGUUAGACGUUGGAAAUUUAUUUUCAGUGUCGCAGCGAAAGCGAUAAACACACCGCCUGGGGAGUACGACCGCAAGGUUAAAACUCAAAUGAAUUGACGGGGACCCGCACAAGUAGUGGAGCAUGUGGUUUAAUUCGAAGAUACGCGCAGAACCUUACCAACACUUGACAUGUUCGUCGCGACUUUAAGAGAUUAAAGUUUUCGGUUCGGCCGGACGAAACACAGGUGCUGCAUGGCUGUCGUCAGCUCGUGUCGUGAGAUGUUGGGUUAAGUCCCGCAACGAGCGCAACCCUCACUUUUAGUUGCCAUCAUUAAGUUGGGCACUCUGAAAGAACUGCCAGUGAUAAGCUGGAGGAAGGUGGGGAUGACGUCAAGUCCUCAUGGCCCUUACGUGUUGGGCUACACACGUGCUACAAUGGUAUCUACAACAGGAAGCGAAACAGCGAUGUUAAGCAAAUCCUUAAAAGAUACCUCAGUUCGGAUUGCACUCUGCAACUCGAGUGCAUGAAGCUGGAAUUACUAGUAAU
RNAcentral lists this ribosomal RNA (943 nucleotides) under marine metagenome. RNAcentral's name for it is "bacterial SSU rRNA". It matches the Rfam family "Bacterial small subunit ribosomal RNA", at positions 380 to 1342 of the family's 1533-position model. The record is from RNAcentral.